AUUGAACGCUGGCGGCAUGCCUUACACAUGCAAGUCGAACGGCAACAGCACUGCGUGGACCGACGAGCGAGUAGCGGGCGAGUAAUUAAUCCAUCCGUGCCUAGCAUUUGGGGAUAAAUACCCGGACGAGAACCUAAUAACGCCCGCAAACUAUGGACGAAAGAAAGCGGCCUACCUGCCUUCCGCUCCCUGUGCGGUUGAUGGCCGAUUAGUUAGUUGGUGGGAUAAAAGCUUACCAAGCCGACGAUCUGUAGCUGGUCUGAGAGGACGACCAGCCACACUGGGACUGAGACACGGCCCAGACUCCUACGGGAGGCAGCAGUGGGGAAUUUUGGACAAUGGGCGCAAGCCUGAUCCAGCAAUGCCGCGUGCAGGAUGAAGGCCUUCGGGUUGUAAACUACUUUUGUACGGAACGAAAAGCCCUCUUCUAAUACGGUAGGGGCAUGACGGUACCGUAAGAAUAAGCACCGGCUAACUACGUG
RNAcentral lists this ribosomal RNA (482 nucleotides) under uncultured bacterium. RNAcentral's name for it is "partial 16S ribosomal RNA". It matches the Rfam family "Bacterial small subunit ribosomal RNA", at positions 30 to 507 of the family's 1533-position model. The record is from RNAcentral.